This 497-nucleotide ribosomal RNA is filed under the name uncultured bacterium. RNAcentral describes it as "partial 16S ribosomal RNA". It matches the Rfam family "Bacterial small subunit ribosomal RNA", at positions 28 to 507 of the family's 1533-position model. The record is from RNAcentral.
GAUGAACGCUGGCGGCGUGCCUAAUACAUGCAAGUCGAGCGAACAGAUGAGGAGCUUGCUCCUCUGACGUUAGCGGCGGACGGGUGAGUAACACGUGGAUAACCUACCUAUAAGACUGGGAUUACUUCGGGAAACCGGAGCUAAUACCGGAUAAUAUAUUGAACCGCAUGGUUCAAUAGUGAAAGACGGUUUUGCUGUCACUUAUAGAUGGAUCCGCGCCGCAUUAGCUAGUUGGUAAGGUAACGGCUUACCAAGGCAACGAUGCGUAGCCGACCUGAGAGGGUGAUCGGCCACACUGGAACUGAGACACGGUCCAGACUCCUACGGGAGGCAGCAGUAGGGAAUCUUCCGCAAUGGGCGAAAGCCUGACGGAGCAACGCCGCGUGAGUGAUGAAGGUCUUCGGAUCGUAAAACUCUGUUAUUAGGGAAGAACAAAUGUGUAAGUAACUAUGCACGUCUUGACGGUACCUAAUCAGAAAGCCACGGCUAACUACGUG